Molecule: ribosomal RNA, 683 nt
Filed under: Escherichia coli
Lineage: Bacteria; Pseudomonadati; Pseudomonadota; Gammaproteobacteria; Enterobacterales; Enterobacteriaceae
Description: partial 23S ribosomal RNA
Rfam family: Bacterial large subunit ribosomal RNA
Source: RNAcentral
CGGACAGUGUCUGGUGGGUAGUUUGACUGGGGCGGUCUCCUCCUAAAGAGUAACGGAGGAGCACGAAGGUUGGCUAAUCCUGGUCGGACAUCAGGAGGUUAGUGCAAUGGCAUAAGCCAGCUUGACUGCGAGCGUGACGGCGCGAGCAGGUGCGAAAGCAGGUCAUAGUGAUCCGGUGGUUCUGAAUGGAAGGGCCAUCGCUCAACGGAUAAAAGGUACUCCGGGGAUAACAGGCUGAUACCGCCCAAGAGUUCAUAUCGACGGCGGUGUUUGGCACCUCGAUGUCGGCUCAUCACAUCCUGGGGCUGAAGUAGGUCCCAAGGGUAUGGCUGUUCGCCAUUUAAAGUGGUACGCGAGCUGGGUUUAGAACGUCGUGAGACAGUUCGGUCCCUAUCUGCCGUGGGCGCUGGAGAACUGAGGGGGGCUGCUCCUAGUACGAGAGGACCGGAGUGGACGCAUCACUGGUGUUCGGGUUGUCAUGCCAAUGGCACUGCCCGGUAGCUAAAUGCGGAAGAGAUAAGUGCUGAAAGCAUCUAAGCACGAAACUUGCCCCGAGAUGAGUUCUCCCUGACUCCUUGAGAGUCCUGAAGGAACGUUGAAGACGACGACGUUGAUAGGCCGGGUGUGUAAGCGCAGCGAUGCGUUGAGCUAACCGGUACUAAUGAACCGUGAGGCUUAACCUU